GAAACGGGGUCUAAUACCGGAUAAUACUCUGUCCCGCAUGGGUGGGGGUUGAAAGCUCCGGCGGUGAAGGAUGAGCCCGCGGCCUAUCAGCUUGUUGGUGGGGUAAUGGCCUACCAAGGCGACGACGGGUAGCCGGCCUGAGAGGGCGACCGGCCACACUGGGACUGAGACACGGCCCAGACUCCUACGGGAGGCAGCAGUGGGGAAUAUUGCACAAUGGGCGAAAGCCUGAUGCAGCGACGCCGCGUGAGGGAUGACGGCCUUCGGGUUGUAAACCUCUUUCAGCAGGGAAGAAGCGCAAGUGACGGUACCUGCAGAAGAAGCGCCGGCUAACUACGUGCCAGCAGCCGCGGUAAUACGUAGGGCGCAAGCGUUGUCCGGAAUUAUUGGGCGUAAAGAGCUCGUAGGCGGCUUGUCACGUCGGAUGUGAAAGCCCGGGGCUUAACCCCGGGUCUGCAUUCGAUACGGGCUAGCUAGAGUGUGGUAGGGGAGAUCGGAAUUCCUGGUGUAGCGGUGAAAUGCGCAGAUAUCAGGAGGAACACCGGUGGCGAAGGCGGAUCUCUGGGCCAUUACUGACGCUGAGGAGCGAAAGCGUGGGGAGCGAACAGGAUUAGAUACCCUGGUAGUCCACGCCGUAAACGUUGGGAACUAGGUGUUGGCGACAUUCCACGUCGUCGGUGCCGCAGCUAACGCAUUAAGU
Molecule: ribosomal RNA, 700 nt
Filed under: Streptomyces pratensis
Lineage: Bacteria; Bacillati; Actinomycetota; Actinomycetes; Kitasatosporales; Streptomycetaceae
Description: bacterial SSU rRNA
Rfam family: Bacterial small subunit ribosomal RNA
Source: RNAcentral